RNAcentral lists this transfer RNA (73 nucleotides) under uncultured Candidatus Thioglobus sp. RNAcentral's name for it is "uncultured SUP05 cluster bacterium tRNA-Thr-TGT". It matches the Rfam family "tRNA". From Rfam's summary of the family: Transfer RNA (tRNA) molecules are approximately 80 nucleotides in length. Their secondary structure includes four short double-helical elements and three loops (D, anti-codon, and T loops). Lineage: Bacteria; Pseudomonadati; Pseudomonadota; Gammaproteobacteria; Pseudothioglobaceae (SeqCode). The record is from RNAcentral.
GCCGGAUUAGCUCAGUUGGUAGAGCACCCGCCUUGUAAGCGGAAGGUCGAGAGUUCAAGUCCCUCAUCCGGCA